Molecule: small RNA, 2655 nt
Filed under: Pongo abelii (Sumatran orangutan)
Lineage: Eukaryota; Metazoa; Chordata; Mammalia; Primates; Hominidae
Description: retained intron
Source: RNAcentral
UUUCCCUUAAUGGUGCUGUCUGCCUGCCAGGAGACAUAUGAGAACACAAGCCACCAGGUGCACACCCUGCGGAGGCUCAUUAAAGAGAAGGAGGAGGCCUUCCAGCGUCGAUGCCAUUUGGAGCCAAAUGUCCGGGGCCUGGAGUCUGUGGACAGUGAGGCCCUGGCCAGAGUAGGCCCUGCAGAGCUGAGUGAGGGCAUGCCACCCUCCGACCUGGACCUUCUGGCUCCAGCCCCACCCCCUGAGGAGGUCCUGCCUCUUCCUCCACCACCAGCUCCGCCCUUGCCCCCUCCACCUCCCCCAUUACCAGACAAGUGUCCCCCAGCCCCACCUCUCCCUGGUGCUGGACCCUCUGUGGUGUUGACAGUGGGCCUGUCAGCCAUUCGAAUUAAGAAACCUAUCAAGACCAAGUUCCGGCUGCCUGUCUUCAACUGGACAGCACUGAAACCCAACCAGAUCAGUGGCACUGUCUUCAGCGAACUUGAUGAUGAGAAGAUCUUGGAGGACCUGGAUCUUGAUAAGUUUGAAGAAUUAUUCAAGACAAAAGCGCAGGGCCCUGCCCUUGACCUCAUCUGCUCCAAAAACAAGACAGCGCAAAAAGCUGCCAGCAAGGUGACUCUGUUGGAAGCCAAUCGUGCCAAGAACCUGGCCAUCACCCUACGCAAGGCUGGCCGCUCGGCUGAGGAGAUCUGCAGGGCCAUUCAUACGUUUGACUUGCAGACACUACCUGUGGACUUCGUGGAGUGCCUGAUGCGCUUCCUGCCCACAGAGGCUGAGGUAAAGCUGCUGCGGCAAUAUGAGCGUGAGCGGCAGCCCCUGGAGGAGUUGGCAGCUGAGGACCGCUUCAUGCUGCUCUUCAGCAAGGUGGAACGGCUGACCCAGCGAAUGGCUGGCAUGGCCUUCCUGGGGAACUUCCAGGAUAACCUGCAGAUGCUCACACCGCAACUCAAUGCCAUCAUUGCGGCGUCCGCUUCCGUCAAGUCUUCACAGAAGCUGAAGCAGAUGUUGGAGAUCAUACUUGCACUGGGGAACUACAUGAACAGCAGCAAGCGGGGAGCUGUGUAUGGCUUCAAGCUCCAGAGCCUGGAUCUGCUGUUGGAUACCAAGUCCACUGACCGGAAGAUGACACUGCUUCAUUUCAUCGCCUUGACAGUGAAGGAGAAAUACCCAGACCUGGCUAACUUCUGGCAUGAGCUGCACUUUGUUGAGAAGGCUGCAGCAGUGUCCCUGGAGAACGUGCUGCUGGACGUGAAGGAGCUGGGCCGGGGCAUGGAGCUGAUUCGGCGUGAGUGCAGCAUCCAUGACAACAGCGUCCUCCGGAACUUCCUCAGUACCAAUGAAGGCAAACUAGACAAGCUCCAGCGGGACGCCAAGACGGCUGAGGCCUACAAUGCAGUUGUGCGCUACUUUGGCGAGAGUCCCAAGACUACACCUCCUUCUGUAUUCUUCCCAGUAUUUGUCCGAUUCAUUCGUUCUUACAAGGAAGCAGAACAAGAGAAUGAAGCCCGCAAGAAGCAGGAGGAGGUAAUGCGGGAGAAGCAGCUGGCUCAGGAAGCCAAGAAACUGGAUGCCAAGACCCCAUCCCAGCGGAACAAGUGGCAACAGCAGGAGUUAAUAGCAGAGUUGAGGCGGCGCCAGGCCAAGGAACACCGGCCUGUUUAUGAGGGGAAGGAUGGUACCAUCGAGGACAUCAUCACAGGCCUCCACUGCCAGCCUAUGGUUGUUCGCCACCAAGCCAGGAGUGCUGCGCCGCCCAGUGGUCCCCCUCGGGCUCCAGGCCCCCACUGAGACUCUCUCGGAGGCAGAAGCACUUCAGCCCUCAGAGUCCUACAAGUCCAACCAGUGGACCUGGAAUUGGCCAAGGGCCCAGGAGAGGGCUGUGUUGCUCUCUCAACCAUGUCCGCCCCAGCUCUUGAGGCUGGAUCUUUCUACUUGUGCCACUAUGGGCACUAGGUCUGUAGGUCCCUGGUGCUUCCAGUACUGCACUUUGCCCCCCAAGGUCUUUGACAUCAUUUCCUGAAGGGUCACCAAGGGUCAGCUCAGGGCUAGGAAAAACCAUUUCCAGCCUUAGCCUCAACAGGGCACAUAGAUAUCUCUCCCACUAGAGCCCAGAGGGAUGAGAGGAGAGAGCAACUGUCCUUUCUUUUUUUUUCCCCUUCCUUUUUGCAGGCCCUUGGUCAGCUCUGGUCUAGACGUAUCUAGGCUUAGGGAGCCCUGGGACCCUGCCAGUCUCAGUUCAUCUCUUACCGGGAGCAAGGCCCUCUGAAGCAUGGGCCGUGCCAGCUGUGCCCUAGUGAUAAGGGUAAGAGGAGAGAUGUCAGGCUCACUGCCCUUAUUUCUCUGCCCAUUUCAUUCUAGGCUCACACUGUCCUUGUCAAGGUGGGCAGAAGAGCAGAGGUUUUCUCUGCACCAACCACUCUGCAGAUGGCUGGAGAAAGGGUGUGCCAACUCUUCACCUUCUUUCCUCAGCUGUUUUUUGUUUUGUUUUGUUUUUGUUUUUUUGGCAGGGGACAAGGAACAUGGUGGUCUUGGCUGACUAUUUGCUUACCUUCCUGUUUCUCGUCUGCCCCUGGAAGGGAAUGUGGGGGCCCACUUUUUUGUACAUGUACCAUUUCCCUUUCCUCUUGUACAUAAACCUCAGACUCUCCCCCUCUC